Molecule: ribosomal RNA, 478 nt
Filed under: uncultured bacterium
Lineage: Bacteria
Description: partial 16S ribosomal RNA
Rfam family: Bacterial small subunit ribosomal RNA
Source: RNAcentral
GACGAACGCUGGCGGCGUGCUUAACACAUGCAAGUCGAACGGUAAGGCCCUUCGGGGUACACGAGUGGCGAACGGGUGAGUAACACGUGGGUGAUCUGCCCUGCACUUCGGGAUAAGCCUGGGAAACUGGGUCUAAUACCGGAUAGGACCACUGCCUGCAUGGGCGGGGGUGGAAAGCUUUUGCGGUGUGGGAUGGGCCCGCGGCCUAUCAGCUUGCUGGUGGGGUGAUGGCCUGCCAAGGCGACGACGGGUAGCCGGCCUGAGAGGGUGACCGGCCACACGGGGACAGAGAAACGGCCGAGACUACUACGGGAGGCAGCAGUGGGGAAUAGUGCACAAUGGGCGCAAGCCUGAUGCAGCGACGCCGCGUGAGGGAUGACGGCCUUCGGGUUGUAAACCUCUUUCAGAACCGACGAAGCGCAAGUGACGGUAGGUGCAGAAGAAGGACCGGCCAACUACGUGCCAGCAGCCGCCGUAA